This 442-nucleotide ribosomal RNA is filed under the name uncultured bacterium. Its description in RNAcentral is "partial 16S ribosomal RNA". It matches the Rfam family "Bacterial small subunit ribosomal RNA", at positions 338 to 795 of the family's 1533-position model. The record is from RNAcentral.
CCUACGGGAGGCAGCAGUGGGGAAUAUUUGGCACUGGGCGCAAGCCUGACCCAGCAACGCCGCGUGAAGGAAGAAGGCGUUCGGGUUGUAAACUUCUUAUCAUGUGGGAGAGCAGAAGACGGUACCUCUCGCAUCAGCCACGGCUAACUACGUGCCAGCAACCGCGGUAAUACGUAGGUGGCACUCGUUGUUCGGAUUGACUGGGUGUAAAGGGCGUGUAGCCGGGCUGACAAGUCCGAUGUGAAUUUCCGGGGCGCAACCCCGGCCCUGCAUUUGAAACCGUGGGUCUUGAGGAUCGGAGAGGCAGGCGGAAUUCCUGGUGUAGCGGUGAAAUGCGUAGAUAUUGGGAGGAACACCAGUGGCGAAGGCGGGCUGCUGGACGACAACUGACGGUGAGGCGCGAAAGCGUGGGGAGCAAACGGGAUGAGAUACCCUUGUAGUC